RNAcentral lists this long non-coding RNA (2475 nucleotides) under Canis lupus familiaris (dog). RNAcentral's name for it is "lncRNA (ENSCAFG00000053393.1)". Lineage: Eukaryota; Metazoa; Chordata; Mammalia; Carnivora; Canidae. The record is from RNAcentral.
CUUUUUUCUUUUUUUUUUUUAAGAUUUUUAUUUAUUCAUGAGAGACACAGAGAGAAGCAGGCUCCCCACAGGGAGCCCGAUGCGGGACUCGCUCCGGGUGUUCGGGAUCAGGCCCUGGGCUGCGGGCGGAGCCCCCGCGCCUUGCCCCACAGUGAGAAGGGAGCUGGGCGCCGCUGACGCUGUCCCGCAAGGUGGACAGGCUCCCCGCGAGAGCAUUCCUCAGCUUCCCAAGCUCUGACUCCCGCUCCUGCGGGAGCCGCUCUGGAGACACGGCCAGCCUUGGAAGCCUGCUCCGGUGUGUACAAGUCACACGAAGCACGCCCUUUCCGGUGUUGCCACGGGGCCUGGAUGGCCGUGCAGCUGCUCAUCUGUCCGCGGCCCACGCGGGACUCGCCGGAGGCCACGGUGGGGAGAGGAGCCUCACAGGGAGGGACGGCGCUCUUGUUGGCGUGGGGCCGCCGUGGCGCAGGAGGCCCUGCGGGGGGACAGCCUUUCAGGCGGGACUCCCCGCCGUUCUGCUGCUUUUGAUCAUUUUUAAUAAACCCGUGAGCGUCGCGGCGGGCCAGUCUCAGAUGCUUCAAAGGCGCGCCCUCCAGCCCGCUGGGCCGUCUGCUCCAACCGCAGCUUUCCCAGGGAGCUUCAGUGUCUCAACUACGAGGGCUGAGAAACACUGCUACAGGGCAGUGUGGUGAAAAUCGGGGGCAAUUAGCACGUUUGCUUAUUUCGCACACCUUUUCUUAGCCACAGCAUACGUUCGAGAAGGUUGGUAGAUCCUCCAUAUUCCCGUCUCUAUCCCAAGUCCUCGGCAGCGGGUGGGCCCUAGACACCAGGGGCUCCCGGGAGCGCGGGCUCCGAGUUCUCCGAAAGUGGAGAAUGGAGAAAAAGCAUAUUUUUGUCUCCUCUUUUUAUCUGACGCAUCCGAGCCAAGUCUGCGACUGUUUACACAACACAGAGGCACGACUGAGGCUGUCACUGGAGCUGAGAAGUUGUCUAUGGACAUUCCUCUGGGCCGGUGGUUCGCACUCGGGCAGACUUGGCCCCCCAGGGGACACGUGCCAAUGCCUGGAGACUGGCUGUCGCGACGGGGACUGCAGAGGUCCUUAGAGGGCAGAGCCCAAAGACGCUGCCCAACAUCCUACAACGCAAAGGACAGCCCCCCAAUGACAACCGCCGGCCUCCAAUGCUAGUAUCGCAGGGUCUGAGAGACCGGGACUUAGGUCAAAGUUAGUGGACGGUGUCAUCCGGAGGCUAAGGUAGGUGCAGGGGCCACGUUCUCACGUCCUCGUCCCACACGCUUUCCUCGGUACAGUCGGGAGCCCCAUCCGUACGGGGACACAGACCCCCGUCUCCAGUGCCACGGAGACUCCUUGUUGCACUGCUCUGUAGCCACCCAACAGACCACAACACUGACACCCUUGAGAACUUUGGAGAAAUGGGUGCUGGGUACACGGAGCACCCCUGGGGGCGUGCACCUUCACAUUCGCAGCUCAGUGUAGAGAAAUCAUACUCCCUUUCUCCAAAUUGAUUUAAUUAAAAUUCCUCAGUUCAACUAGGGCCAAAGAAAAUUCAUAAGCAGGGGCGCCUGGGGGGCUCAGUGGGUUAGCAGCUGCCUUCGGCUCAGGUCACGAUCCUGGGGUCCCGGGCUGCACCGGGCUCCUUGCUCCGCGGACAGUCUGCUCUCUCGACCUGCAGCUCUUCCUGCUUGGUGCGUGCUGCACUGACAAAUCAAAUCUUUAAAAAAAUUCAUAACCGUCACUGUAAGACAACGGACAUUCACGAAUUCUCACUUGCAAUAAUUAAGUAAUUAAUCUUCUGAGAAGGACAGCUCUUCUGAAGGAAAUCAUGGCAAGAUUACAGGAAGGUGCGAUCACCUUUACUUACUUAUAUUCACGGACUUCUUUCAAUAAUAAGUAAUAAUGUCCGGAUACUCCAUAGUUGUUUUAGUGAAUCCUAGAUUUCAUUUAGAGCCACAACCUCUGUCUCACAAGUUAAAACUCCCCAGUUUACUUCGAUGACGAAAUCUUCCAGUUACUCGUUCUCAAGGAUUGGGCAGGCCGUAAAGUUUGGCUUUGUCGUCGUCUCAUGGAAGUCAUAACCAAGCCAUUUUCUCGAACAGCCUUCCUAAGUCGCAGUAGCUAGACCUGAGGUAUGCAGGGAGCGCGCCCCAGGACGAGGAUGACAGCAGGGGCCGGAGGAAUGCAGCUACAAGCCGGGGAGCGCCGGUCACUGCUGCGGACCCCAGAAGCCGGGAAGAGACAGAGAAGGGUCCUAACCCAGGGCCCCCGCAGAAUGCCCCAGGCCCGCACCCCCAUUUCUGACUUCUGCCUCCAGAAACGUGCAGCAGCAAGUUCCUACUGUUCUAAGCCACCUGGUUUGCGAUGCUGUUAAGGCAGCUCAGGAAAUGAAUAAAGAUUUGGGUAUUUCUUAUUUGUCACAAAAUACUCUUAAAUCUAACACUGUUACUGUCCGGUUUGU